AUGGCGUCAUCAGCGGGGCAUCGUCGGCGGGGCAAGAACAGGCCCAAAAAGAAGAAGAAAAUGGCCGGACCAACCACCGUGCAGGACCUCCCUGACCAUCUCUUCGAGCUCGUCCUCGCCCGCCUCGGCCCGUCCCCGUGCCUCGUCCGCGCCGCGGCCGCCUGCAAGCGGUGGUGCCGCGUCAUCGCCAACCCCGGCUUCCUCGCCCGCUUCGGCCCGCAGGCGCCGCACGUCGGCGACUACCACACCGACCACGGCGGUCGACCCCUCUUCGUCCCGUCCUCGCCGGUCGUCGUCGACUGCAGCCGCUUCUCCCUCGACUUCCUCCCGGACAGCGGAUCGUGGGACAUCGCGGACAGCCGCGGCAGCCUUCUCCUCCUAUGCGACGGCUACGAUCUAAUCGUUUGCGAGCCGCUCACCGGACUCUACCAGGGGAUCCUCUGGCCUGGCGUGUUCCGGCGUCGCCUGGGCGUGUUCCUGCUCGACGGCGACGACGCGGACCGCCGCGUCAGCAUGUCCAACUUCAGGGUCCUCGCUGCCUUCGACGAAACCACUGCGUGCAUCUUCUCCACCGGCGGGGACGGCGGUUGGCGCCUCGUGUCCAGCGCUAUCGCCGGCGACAUCGAGCUCCCGUCAACGCUCGGCCCCGAAAAUUUCGUAGGGCGUGCAAAUGGCACUGUAUAUUGGGGAAUCGAAGGAAGUGACACCGAUGUACUUGUUCUUGCUGAGUCCACGGCGGAGUUCUCCAUCGCCGCAUUCCCGGAGACCGUGUGGUGGCCAUCCCACAGAGGGAUCUCUCGGGUUGUGGGCGGCGACGACGGCGUGCUGCGCGUUAUACGCCUGAUAAACAACGAGCUCAAGGUCUUUGCACGCCGGCAUCCAGACAGUGAUGGCGAUGAGUGGUUGCUGGAGAUGCACCUGAGGUUGCCGGAGGCCACCCUUGGGCUGCCGGGGCGCAAAGAGAGCUUUUUCCAGCAAGAAGCCAUGAUUGUCUCCGCGAAUGCUGGAUACGUCCUGCUGACACCGAGCGAGGAGACGUGGCUGUUCUCCGUUGAGCUGGACACGAUGCGAGUUGAGCGCGAGCACGAGAGAAACAAGUACGCCGGAGCAGCUCACCCGUACAAGCUGCCGUGGCCGCCGGCUUUGGCUGAUCAUAGCGGGGAGAGCAGGCGAUGA
This 1176-nucleotide ribosomal RNA is filed under the name Triticum aestivum (bread wheat). RNAcentral's name for it is "partial small subunit ribosomal RNA". The record is from RNAcentral. Lineage: Eukaryota; Viridiplantae; Streptophyta; Magnoliopsida; Poales; Poaceae.